UAUGAUAAGAAUUCAGAUGUCUAAGGUUCUUCUUGGCAUUAUCUAUAAUAAUAUAAUCUACUAACAAAAAUUGUCCGACUAUGAUCAUAUUAGGUCAAAAUUUGUAGUAUCCUUUCAUUAUCAAUAAAAUCCUUCUUUAUUUAUAACUAAUAUAUUUUAUAAUAUCUUUUGAUAUAAAGAAUUAAUAUUUUUAAUCAAUUUAAACCACCAUGCU
RNAcentral lists this long non-coding RNA (214 nucleotides) under Elaeis guineensis (African oil palm). RNAcentral describes it as "long non-coding RNA (EGUI_LNC009360)". The record is from RNAcentral. Lineage: Eukaryota; Viridiplantae; Streptophyta; Magnoliopsida; Arecales; Arecaceae.